AGCAGCCGCGGUAAUUCCAGCUCCAAUAGCGUAAAUUAAAGUUGUUGCAGUUAAAAGCUCGUAGUUGAAUUUCGGGAUUGGCGCAUCGGUCGUGCCUCACGGGGUAUGAACUGGUGCAGUCAAUUUCUCACCUUCUGGAGAACCGCGAUGUCCUUAAUUGGAUGCCGCGGGGAACCAGGACCUUUACUUUGAAAAAUUAGAGUGUUUAAAGCAGGCAUUUUUGCUUGAAUACAUUAGCAUGGAAUAAUAAAUAGGACGGCAUGGUUCUAUUUUGUUGGUUUCUAGGACCACCGUAAUGAUUAAUAGAGAUAGUUGGGGGCAUUAGUAUUCAAUUGUCAGAGGUGAAAUUCUUGGAUUUAUUGAAGACUAACUACUGCGAAAGCAUUUGCCAAGGAUGUUUUCAUUAAUCAAGAACGAAAGUUAGGGGAUCGAAGACGAUCAGAUACCGUCGUAGUCCUAACCAUAAACUAUGCCGACUAGGAAUCAGACGAUGUUAAUUUUUAAUGACUCG
RNAcentral lists this ribosomal RNA (511 nucleotides) under uncultured Entrophosporaceae. RNAcentral's name for it is "SSU rRNA". It matches the Rfam family "Eukaryotic small subunit ribosomal RNA", at positions 569 to 1078 of the family's 1831-position model. The record is from RNAcentral. Lineage: Eukaryota; Fungi; Glomeromycota; Glomeromycetes; Entrophosporales; Entrophosporaceae.